Molecule: long non-coding RNA, 1507 nt
Organism: Xenopus laevis (African clawed frog)
Lineage: Eukaryota; Metazoa; Chordata; Amphibia; Anura; Pipidae
Exons: 3
Source: RefSeq, a predicted model, not a curated record
UCCUGUGACUACUAAGGCCUAUGUCUGCUGUGGGGACCAUAAAACUGAUUGUGUAUGUGAGAAAACUUGCUCAACAGGAUGUAGGCAAGUUGGGGGUUUAUCACAGCAUCUUGGCAGUUGGGAGGGUUCCUGCGGGGGAAGGUGAGAACGCAGGAUAAAAGAACACGAGCAGACAUGUGAAGGGGUGGGCAGCUGAGAGGGGCAGCAGAGAGGGAGCUGGGCAGCUGAGAGGAGGCAGCUAGAGAGCUGGAGAAGCCAGAGGAGCCUGGGACAAGACAUGUGAGGAAUGAAGACCAGAGGGGAAGGCAGAGAUGAAGCCGAACUCUAUUCCCCUGCCUUUUUGCAAAUGGUUCUGGUUAAUUCUUAGCACUAAGUCUGGCCACACGCACAGCUUUCAUCCCAUUUGUUCCUUUUCUAGCCAAACUGUACAGACGAUUGAAAGUGUCGGCCUCAGCUGCAAACUGUCUGGCUGGCUGCUAGGUACAUUAAACAGUUUUUAGGACAUAGACUACAGAUUACAGACCUCUGUGGAUCUUAUUGGUGGACGAGCUGUUCCUGUUUAUUACUCUCCCAAACCGUAAUAGCUUUAUCAACAUAAAACCUGAAGUGACAUCAUCAUGAACCAAAAGGGAUCUCAUGCAAAGAUUGCUGGCUGGGGUUUCUGUACCCGUUAAGAUGCUUUGCAUAUUGGCUGCAGGAGUCAUUCCUAUAUUCACCGGAAACCUCAAACAAUGAUGCGCUAUUCUCUUAUGAAAGACAAUUGUUGCACAUUAAUUAGCUGGAAUUUUAAUAGUUGAGUUCAAAUUCUGAUCUCCUUUGGAUUGGCAAUGUGCAUAAAUAAAUCAACCGAAAUGAAAGUUUGGAAUGCAAGGCUAUUGCCAGAAAAUAUCAGACUCUUAAAGUAACUAUUGCUUUCAAGCUCCAACUGAGUAAGCACCCAAAUGUCAUAUAGUUACCUUUAACCUGGGUUCCCAAUGACUAGGGACCACUGUAGGGAAAUUAAGCUGAUACACAUUAAAACACACAUUAAAAACAUUUGUAUUGGCCCUGGUUGUGGAUAUUCAUCUUAGUUAUCCAAGUUAUCUGAGGAUAAUGUUAAUGAUGAAGCUAUAAAACAUGUUAUACAGGCCCUCUCCUAUUGAUUUUUCAGUCUCUUAUUUAAACUACAUUCUGGUUGCUAGGGUAAAAUGGACCAUAGUGGCUGAUAUUCCAAACUGGAGAGCCACUGAACCUAUGAUUGUAAUGAAACAUGGCAUUUUUUCGAAAACAUCCAAAAUCUUGCCAAAAGUUCUGCUGCAGACACAGAGAAAAAAUAAAAUGAAAUUUUGGAUCUGCUUUGAUGUCAGCAGAGUGCCACUUCCUAGCCCCUUACGUAAUGCCGCCGUGUUUUUCUUAGCUUGUAUCCCUUGGACGAUGAUAUAGCAUCAAGUCUGGAAUAAUUCCACGUGACCUAAAAGCAAUCUCUCACAGCCCUGGCACCUAACGUACAGUAAAUUUAUGAAUUCCA